CUCGUGCUGAAGUUGCCGCACCUAUACAGCAUUCAAAUCAUGAAUUUGAUUGAGUAUUGCCUUUUAUAUUUCAUAUAGUAGUACAAAGCAUAGAGUUUGGGUCUCCUGUCUAGCGAACCUCAACUUGCUCGGGAGUCAGGACUAAAAACAAAUAUAAGUAACUUUCAUGCCCAGAUGACCAGUGGAAUAUAUAUAAAAAUAUGUAUUCAUAGUACUUUUAUCUUUUAAAUAUGUUAGAUGAUUUGGUUCAGUCUGUAAGAAAAGUUAUACUAUAAUGUAAACAUGUUUUCCAUUAAAGAAGAGUCGGGGAUAGGGCAUGAGCUACCUUGGAUACAAUUAUCAUAUAUAGAGAGAGAGACAGAAAGAGUGAUAGUUUUGUGCACAUGGUCUGGGAAAAGAGAGGAAUAUAUAUAUAAAGAAAGGCAAGUAAGGUUUAGUCACUUAGACUCAGGGAUCAUGUGCAUCCAUGGACAACUGAAAACGACAAGGUUAUGUUUCAGCUUUAGCAAAGGCAAUCACGCACUACACAACACUAUGGCUGCAGGCUGCAUGGAGAGGUACCUCAUCUUCCAUAGAUUUAAUA
This 583-nucleotide unclassified non-coding RNA is filed under the name Zea mays. Its description in RNAcentral is "misc RNA Zm00001eb203210". Lineage: Eukaryota; Viridiplantae; Streptophyta; Magnoliopsida; Poales; Poaceae. The record is from RNAcentral.